RNAcentral lists this long non-coding RNA (240 nucleotides) under Ictidomys tridecemlineatus (thirteen-lined ground squirrel). RNAcentral describes it as "lncRNA (ENSSTOG00000029294.1)". Lineage: Eukaryota; Metazoa; Chordata; Mammalia; Rodentia; Sciuridae. The record is from RNAcentral.
CUCAAUCUCAAAAAUUGAGCCACAGUGGACAGACUGCAUCUCACAGAAGUUCAUUUAGCCUUUGAAAUGUGGAAAGACAGAAGAAAUCAGGAGAGGGAGUGGUGGAGAGGCCAUGGUACACCAAGUUCCACAAGAGCUGGGGUGAGACAAGCUGGCUGUGACUUCGUUCUACUUCUGUGAAAGUCUGACUUUAUUGGAAGGAAGGGUAAGUUUGGCAGAGGGCAUGAAGAGACCAUUAAC